Molecule: non-coding RNA, 943 nt
Filed under: Esox niger (chain pickerel)
Lineage: Eukaryota; Metazoa; Chordata; Actinopteri; Esociformes; Esocidae
Also listed under: 2 other names
Description: 12S ribosomal RNA
Rfam family: Bacterial small subunit ribosomal RNA
Source: RNAcentral
CAAAGGCUUGGUCCUGACUUUACUAUCAGCUCUAACUAAAUUUACACAUGCAAGUCUCCGCACCCCUGUGAGAAUGCCCUUAAUCCCCUGUCCGGGGCUGAGGAGCCGGCAUCAGGCACGCAUAAUGCAGCCCAAGACGCCUUGCUAAGCCACACCCCCAAGGGUACUCAGCAGUGAUAAACAUUAAAUAAUAAGCGAAAGCUUGACUUAGUUAUUGUUAAAAGGGCCGGUAAAACUCGUGCCAGCCACCGCGGUUAUACGAGAGACCCUAGUUGAUAAGCAUCGGCGUAAAGAGUGGUUAAGAAAAUAAUUUAAUAAAGCCGAACACCUCCUCAGUUGUUAUACACAUUUGAAGACCUGAAGCCCCCUUGCGAAAGCAGCUUUAAAUAUUCUGAACCCACGACAACUAUGACACAAACUGGGAUUAGAUACCCCACUAUGCAUAGUCAUAAAUUCUGAUAAAAACAUACAAUUUUAUCCGCCAGGGGACUACAAGCAUUAGCUUAAAACCCAAAGGACUUGGCGGUGCUUCAAACCCACCUAGAGGAGCCUGUUCUAUAAUCGAUAACCCCCGCUUAACCUCACCAACCCUUGUUAAUUCAGCCUAUAUACCACCGUCGCCAGCUUAUCCUGUGAAGGCCUCAUAAUAAGCAAAAUGGGUAAAACCCUAAACGUCAGGUCAAGGUGUAGCGCAUGGGCUGGGAAGAAAUGGGCUACAUUUUCUAAUUUAGAAUAUACGAACCACACUGUGAAAUCAGUGUCCGAAGGUGGAUUUAGCAGUAAAUAGAAAAUAGAGUGUUCUAUUGAAAUUGGCUCUGAAGCGCGCACACACCGCCCGUCACUCUCUCCAAGUUCAUUAAAAUAAUUAAAUAAAAAAUUAACCGAACAAAGGGGAGGCAAGUCGUAACAUGGUAAGUGUACCGGAAGGUGCACUUAGUUUAAC